RNAcentral lists this ribosomal RNA (387 nucleotides) under uncultured bacterium. RNAcentral describes it as "bacterial SSU rRNA". It matches the Rfam family "Bacterial small subunit ribosomal RNA", at positions 29 to 416 of the family's 1533-position model. The record is from RNAcentral.
AUUGAACGCUGGCGGCAUGCCUUACACAUGCAAGUCGAACGGCAGCACGGGGGCAACCCUGGUGGCGAGUGGCGAACGGGUGAGUAACGCAUCGGAAUGUACCCAGUAGUGGGGGGAUAACUAGUCGAAAGAUUAGCUAAUACCGCAUACGCACUGAGGUGGAAAGCGGGGGAUCGCAAGACCUCGCGCUAUUGGAGCAGCCGAUGUCCGAUUAGGUAGUUGGUGGGGUAAAGGCCUACCAAGCCUGCGAUCGGUAACUGGUCUGAGAGGACGACCAGUCACACUGGGACUGAGACACGGCCCAGACUCCUACGGGAGGCAGCAGUGGGGAAUUUUGGACAAUGGGCGCAAGCCUGAUCCAGCAAUGCCGCGUGUGUGAAGAAGGCC